Molecule: long non-coding RNA, 272 nt
Organism: Neogale vison (American mink)
Lineage: Eukaryota; Metazoa; Chordata; Mammalia; Carnivora; Mustelidae
Exons: 3
Source: RefSeq, a predicted model, not a curated record
AUAAAAGCUUGGACCUUCUGCCUUGCAGGGUAGCUUCCUGUUGCCUGAAAAGAGAACUCGAAGCUUCGGGCAGUGGGGGUGGAGAAGUGAAAUGGGAAUGUGAGGCCCCAGUACUUCUGGAAAUGGAGAGGACACUGGUCCUUCUGAAAAGGAAUGCUCCGCAUUGAGUGGUGUCCCUGCAAAAAAGAGAAGUUAGAAUCUGACAAGGGAUUUAUAUCCUGAAUACAGAGCCAACUCCUACAAGUCAAUGUCAACAACAAAAACAACCUGAU